This 366-nucleotide long non-coding RNA is filed under the name Homo sapiens (human). Its description in RNAcentral is "non-protein coding lnc-KLHL35-4:1". The record is from RNAcentral. Lineage: Eukaryota; Metazoa; Chordata; Mammalia; Primates; Hominidae.
CGAGCGGCGAGGGAGCAGGGGAAGAGGAGGAAGUGGAGCCGCGGCCGGGAGCUCGGGAGUCGGCCGCCGCGCCGAGGGUCGCUCCGCGCCUUUCCGUCAGUGAGGGUCGGAACCCCAGCUCCAGGGCUAGCGCAGUGUGGCCCCAGGCCCUCGCCUCCGGUGCACGGGACCCCGGACCCCCCCAGCCUCUGGCUUCACGAGACCCCAACCUUCAGUUGGAACAGCUUGGAACAGCGCGAGCGCCCGGGAAGCCCUGGCCGGGUCGUGCGCUCGGUGAGGGGUCCUAGGCGGGCAGGACAGUCGGACCGAACCGCCGGGCUGGUGCCGCGAGCCCAGGCUGUCACCUUCGUCCCGCCUCAGGUGAGG